Molecule: small nuclear RNA, 105 nt
Organism: Pteropus vampyrus (large flying fox)
Lineage: Eukaryota; Metazoa; Chordata; Mammalia; Chiroptera; Pteropodidae
Source: Ensembl
GUGCUCAUUUUGCCAGCACAUAUACUAAAACUGAAAAGAAACAAAAGAAUAGCAUGGCCUCUGUAUAAGGAUGACAUGCAAAUUCAUGAAAUGUUCUAUAUUUUU